This 3034-nucleotide long non-coding RNA is filed under the name Mus musculus (house mouse). RNAcentral describes it as "long non-coding RNA chr19:22503400-22506434". The record is from RNAcentral. Lineage: Eukaryota; Metazoa; Chordata; Mammalia; Rodentia; Muridae.
UCCUGGAAAAUCUAGGCCAGUGGCACUGGGGAUUGCAGGUGGCUGUUUAAUAUUUAUUAUGAGUCUUCAUUGGAAGUUGGUGAAUGUCUUUAAAUUUUGAUUACCCAGCUGUGGAUCUAUGUAGAUAUUUGCAGAACUUACCGUAGUAAAGCAAAUGCAGAGGCUCAAUUUCCCAGGUGCAGCAAGCUGUUCCAGCCCCACCCCGAAAGCCCUUCUACGAUCAACCAGGAGGCUUGAAUUUUAUGGUCUCUCUGUGGACUUCUAGGUCAGAAGAGUCAUGUUUCCUGUGCCAAGAGUCUCCAAGACUGUUUUCCACCAGACUGAGUAGUUUGUUGGGACUAGCUGGGCUCAUAUAACCAUGUGCACAGCCAAGGUUAAUUAUAGAGAAAGGACACAAAGUAAAACGAGCGAAAAGAAAAAAAAAAUCACAUUGGUUAGACACUCAUGGAAACCGGAAGCUUCCAAGAAGUCCCCCGGUUGUCUUCAUCCCCCCAGCAACAGAGGACAGUUUUUGUGAAGUGUUCCCUGGGAAUAUCUCAAAAGGCUCAGCACCGCGUGAUUUCUGUUGGGGAAUGCUCAUAUCGUCAGCCUCUGCCUGCUGCCUUAAAAUUCCAGACUCCUGGAAGACAGGUGUGUGUUCAGCUUAAACCAUUUUGUUUCACAGCUCAGGAAACCUCACACUGCCUUGCUUAUUCUGGAAAUGGUGGGAACCUACAAGUGUCUGGGUUUUCUGAUAUCAGUCCUGUGCCAGCCUUGCAGAGAGAAACUUUCUGACGCUAAUCAUCUUAGGCCUGUUAUGAAUAACCUUCUCAUACAGAACCAAGGUCCAGGUAUGAUUCUAUCUGCAAACUUACGGUUGUGCUGUCUUGAGUUUCCAAUUUAUCUUCACCUCUUAUUCACCAUUUUCAAAGAUUACAUGUUCUCUAUGGCUCUGUAGGAGGUGGCCUUGCUCUUCCUCUUUAACUGCAUCUCAUGCCUCUGAGCCUCUGUUGCUUUUCUUCACAAGGCAGCCACUAGGUCUGAUCAGUUCUAGGAUUCCAGUGUCUUACAGCUUCAAAGUCAUGUUGUUCCCUGUCCCUACUAAACAUCCUUCAUCCUUCACCCUGCAGCAUCCUCCUGAAAGAUGCCUUGUCCAUCUUAGAAGAAAGAAGGACUCACACAAUACUCUAGGAGUACUCUAUUCUUUCCCCUCUACAUUGGUGACAAUUUGUCUUUGAAUACUUAUAGAUACAUUUCAAUUUAGUAUUUGGUUUCAUAGCUGGGGAAUAAGUUUCUGGGUAAGGCAUGGACCAUGCCCACCCUGUCUGUAGCUGUGUUCCACGAUAAGGAAUGUAUGUAGUCCACCAGUAUUUGUUUAAGGGAAGAAUAAAUAAUUUACACUUUGAAUCUUUUGACAAGUCAGGCCUUGCCUUGUUCGGAUGCAUUUUCUGUUUUAGAUUAAAAAUGAAAGAUAUAAUUUGGAUAACUAUGUUAAGGACCAAAUGCAUAAGCUGGUGGCUCAUGCUUGAAUUUUGAAUUUUACUAUGAUAGGAAAGUAGACCUUUGUGGCAUGGACUUGCUCUCUAUCAUAAGAACUACAGGGAACCUGAAGGGUCAGGCAGGUCUUGUCUUGAAGUCUAUUACUACGACUUUAUGAAUUAUAUUGGACCAGCUAUCAAACUUUCAUGAUGUUCUUCUUUGUAAGCAAGCAUGCAAACACCCUUCUCAAGGAUUGGAAAGAUAAAGUUGAAAUCAAACAUGCAAAACACUGAGCAGAUGCCCAGUACACGCUUAUACCCAAUAAAUGAAAGUUGCUGUUUUGGCUCUGCCAGACUCAGGAAAGGCUUCAAGACCACCCUAAUUUUUGUUUGUUUGUUUUUUUUUUUCUUUUUUCCUUACUCAAUCAAGGACUCCUUAUUCUAACUUCAUAGUACAGUUCUAAUUGAAAACUGGUCAAGUGGAAAUCAACUCGGUGCUUGGGAUAAGCCAUCUCUUAGCCUUCAACCAUCCCAAACCUGCCCACUAUAACAUCUACCAUUAGAAUACUGUUCUAUUUCUUUGGACAACAGCAAAUGAGUCAGGACAGCUAUGAAGUCACACUUAGACCUCUCUCUUCCUAUUCCUUCUAGCUAAAUAUCACUUCCAACUAAUUGUCACAUUUACUACAGAUGAGGGAUUCCCCUGCCCCUGGUUUUCAGACUCCUGGGAAUCUUGGCUGCCUUCCUGUAUGUAUACUACAUUUUCACAGCAUGUUCAGGUGCUUCAAGAAUCAACACCAAUCCUGUAUAUUUGUGUAGUGUGUGGACAUAUAAGGAAAUAUAAGACAUUGGCUCUAAUGAGGACUGGGAGGUCCAUAAUUUAUAGAACCGGUUGGGAAAUCAGACAGGAGAUGGAAUUGAGGCAAACAUUUCUUCCUCUUAGGUAAGCUCAUUUUUUGCUUUGGGGUCCUUCUCUUUACUGGCUGAGACAUACUUACACUCUAGAGGAUAAAAUUUAAAGUCAACUGAUAUUGAAAUGAAUAAGAUCUACAAAAAUAUCUUCAUAACAGUGGCAAGUUUACUGUUCCAACUUAGCAUUACCAGUUACAUGUAAGAGCCUUAAACUACUGGAGUCAAAACUAAAUGUCUGCUGUGAGGGCAAUCCAGCACUGGGAGACAUUGCUCCUUUGAUCUGGACACUAGUUUAUUAUGGAGGUAACCUGAGGGUUUUAUUGACUAUAUAGAAAUAUCCAGGUCACCCCAACUUGUUCACACAAGCAAACAAGGGACCUGCUUGAGAAACUCUAGGCAAAGAUACCUGGAACCAAAAAAAACUCUAAGCUGAAGGGAGAGAUUUUAUAAGGAUGCUGAAAAACAGAAUCCAAGAAGGAAAUCCUUGUGUCUCUUUCUAAAAUCUGUCCACUAUGCAUGUCAACGGACCGACCUCUCUAAGCUCUGCAGCCACUUGAUUAUUCUGUGUGGUCAGCUCAACUCAUCUGUGCAGCUGUGUCACCUCUGUGGUUAGUAUGGCUUCCCAAUUCUGUUAAUAUCAAGAGAUUUUGAACAGCUGAAGACUC